CCUGAACACUGCUGAUGCUCGCACCGAUCGAUCAUCGGCAAUCUCUACCUCUAAUGGGCAAUCCAACAUGCCCGAAGACUCAAUAAACCUCUUGCUAAGUGCAAGGGAAACAAAUGAUCGGGUGGCACCCGANCAAUCUCUACCUCUAAAGGGCAAUCCAACAUGCCCGAAGACUCAGUAAACCUCUUGCUAAGUGCAAGGGAAACAAAUGAUCGGGUGGCACCCGAGUCAAACAACACCUGGACAGGAAUACCCUUCACAUGGAACGAUCCUAAUGCAUAUACACAGAGCACAUAACAAUAUCAUAACAUC
RNAcentral lists this long non-coding RNA (312 nucleotides) under Lactuca sativa (garden lettuce). Its description in RNAcentral is "long non-coding RNA (LSAT_LNC008387)". Lineage: Eukaryota; Viridiplantae; Streptophyta; Magnoliopsida; Asterales; Asteraceae. The record is from RNAcentral.